This 1355-nucleotide ribosomal RNA is filed under the name uncultured bacterium. RNAcentral's name for it is "16S ribosomal RNA". It matches the Rfam family "Bacterial small subunit ribosomal RNA", at positions 9 to 1383 of the family's 1533-position model. The record is from RNAcentral.
GAGUUUGAUCCUGGCUCAGGACGAACGCUGGCGGCGCGCCUAACACAUGCAAGUCGAACGGAGCUGAGAGGAGCUUGCUUUUCUUAGCUUAGUGGCGAACGGGUGAGUAACGCGUGAGUAACCUGCCCUGGAGUGGGGGACAACAGUUGGAAACGACUGCUAAUACCGCAUAAGCCCACGGCCCGGCAUCGGGCUGCGGGAAAAGGAUUUAUUCGCUUCAGGAUGGACUCGCGUCCAAUUAGCUAGUUGGUGAGGUAACGGCCCACCAAGGCGACGAUUGGUAGCCGGACUGAGAGGUUGAACGGCCACAUUGGGACUGAGACACGGCCCAGACUCCUACGGGAGGCAGCAGUGGGGGAUAUUGCACAAUGGGGGAAACCCUGAUGCAGCGACGCCGCGUGGAGGAAGAAGGUUUUCGGAUUGUAAACUCCUGUCGUUAGGGACGAUAAUGACGGUACCUAACAAGAAAGCACCGGCUAACUACGUGCCAGCAGCCGCGGUAAAACGUAGGGUGCAAGCGUUGUCCGGAAUUACUGGGUGUAAAGGGAGCGCAGGCGGACCGGCAAGUUGGAAGUGAAAACCAUGGGCUCAACCCAUGAAUUGCUUUCAAAACUGCUGGCCUUGAGUAGUGCAGAGGUAGGUGGAAUUCCCGGUGUANCGGUGGAAUGCGUAGAUAUCGGGAGGAACACCAGUGGCGAAGGCGAACUACUGGGCACCAACUGACGCUGAGGCUCGAAAGCAUGGGUAGCAAACAGGAUUAGAUACCUGGUAGUCCAUGCCGUAAACGAUGAUUACUAGGUGUUGGAGGAUUGACCCCUUCAGUGCCGCAGUUAACACAAUAAGUAAUCCACCUGGGGAGUACGACCGCAAGGUUGAAACUCAAAGGAAUUGACGGGGGCCCGCACAAGCAGUGGAGUAUGUGGUUUAAUUCGAAGCAACGCGAAGAACCUUACCAGGUCUUGACAUCCGAUGCAUAGCACAGAGAUGUGUGAAGUCCUUCGGGACAUCGAGACAGGUGGUGCAUGGUUGUCGUCAGCUCGUGUCGUGAGAUGUUGGGUUAAGUCCCGCAACGAGCGCAACCCUUAUUGCCAGUUACUACGCAAGAGGACUCUGGCGAGACUGCCGUUGACAAAACGGAGGAAGGUGGGGAUGACGUCAAAUCAUCAUGCCCUUCAUGACCUGGGCUACACACGUACUACAAUGGCGUUUAACAAAGAGAAGCAAGACCGCGAGGUGGAGCAAAACUCAGAAACAACGUCUCAGUUCAGAUUGCAGGCUGCAACUCGCCUGCAUGAAGUCGGAAUUGCUAGUAAUCGCGGAUCAGCAUGCCGCGGUGAAUACGUUCCCGGGCCUUG